UACGGAGGGUGCAAGCGUUGCUCGGAAUUAUUGGGCGUAAAGCGCACGCAGGCGGCACGGUAAGUCAGUUGUGAAAUUCCUGGGCUUAACUCGGGAGCUGCAGCUGAUACUGCCGAGCUUGAGUACGGAAGAGGGGAGCGGAAUUCCCAGUGUAGAGGUGAAAUUCGUAGAUAUUGGGAGGAACACCGGUGGCGAAGGCGGCUCCCUGGUCCGAUACUGACGCUCAUGUGCGAAAGCGUGGGGAGCAAACAGG
This 253-nucleotide ribosomal RNA is filed under the name uncultured bacterium. RNAcentral describes it as "partial 16S ribosomal RNA". It matches the Rfam family "Bacterial small subunit ribosomal RNA", at positions 524 to 776 of the family's 1533-position model. The record is from RNAcentral.